GACGAACGCUGGCGGCGUGCUUAACACAUGCAAGUCGAACGAUGAAGCCGGAGCUUGCUCUGGUGAAUUAGUGGCGAACGGGUGAGUAACACGUGAGUAACCUGCCCUUGACUCUGGGAUAACUGCGGGAAACUGUAGCUAAUACCGGAUACGACCCUCGGAGGCAUCUCCUGGGGGUGGAAAGAAUUUCGGUCAAGGAUGGACUCGCGGCCUAUCAGCUAGGUGGUGAGGUAAAGGCUCACCAAGGAGACGCCGGGUAGCCGGCCGGAGAGGGUGACCGGCCACACUGGGACUGAGACACGGCCCAGACUCCUACGGGAGGCAGCAGUGGGGAAUAUUGCACAAUGGGCGCAAGCCUGAUGCAGCAACGCCGCGUGAGGGAUGACGGCCUUCGGGUUGUAAACCUCUUUUAGCAGGGAAGAAGCGAAAGUGACGGUACCUGCAGAAAAAGCACCGGCUAACUACGUGCCAGCAGCCGCGGUAA
Molecule: ribosomal RNA, 484 nt
Filed under: uncultured bacterium
Lineage: Bacteria
Description: partial 16S ribosomal RNA
Rfam family: Bacterial small subunit ribosomal RNA
Source: RNAcentral